GUGAGAGCAGUUGUUUUGUAAUACCAAUAUAAAAAAUCAUUACAAUCUUUCAAUAGCUAUACUAACUUGUUUAACCACCCUGAUUCUUCCUUGAGAAAUAGCUAUAGUAUUUGUUUCCCUGUUAGCAAUUUGAAAGUUCUCGGAGAACAUUUUUAUAUUGCAGUGAAGAGUGGCUGAAGAGGAUGGACCGAAGCUUGGCUUCCAUUAAGCCAAUAAUGGAGUCCACCUAUGGUAAGGAUCAGGCUGUGAAAUGGACAGUGUAUUGGAGAACAUUCUUUAUUGCUGUUGCGGAACUCUUUGGAUACAAUAAUGGAGAAGAAUGGAUGGUUGCAGUUUUCCUAUUCAAGAAGAAAUAAAGCCGUCGUCAAUGCUCGUAGUCAAUGCUCAUUUCCACCAAGAAUCAGCUUUGGGCAUUAGGGGACUAAAAUAAGAGCAACUGUAGAAUCGCUGAAAAUUUUGCAACUCGUACUAGUCACACACGUCUAGCUACUUGUUCCAUUGGAAAGACGAAUGCAUUUUGUACUUUGGACGAAACCAAACAACUGCAUCAAGAAGCGUCAAUGCAGAGAAUAAAUCAUAGCAAAAAAUUUAAAUAAUUGAUGAAAGUAUAACUUCAGUUAGCUACUUCACCUGUUUUGUUUUACACUAUUUAGCAACAUUCUCAACUGGGUUUCCACUAUUAUCUCGAAAAUGGAACCAACAACGUCAUCAGCUUCCAAGGAGACUGGCUAUGACUGUUCUCCAUCAUAGACCCAGGGAAAUUCAUACAGAAGUUGCAAGGAAGGCUAUCAGGGAUUAACAGGCUCAAGUUCAUCAGCAAUAACUUGUCUGGUUCCCUUCUCAUAUCUCAGCCACUCUAAUGUAGCUUGGAUGGCCAUACUUAAUAGGCUUCCUUCUCUAAUGACCUCCUUUUCUUUUCUACUCUGAAACAGAUUAUUGAUUCCUAUAACUUUUUCUUUUUCUUUUCUGAAAGGAGGGCAGCUAAAAUCUAUUAGGAAAUUUUUUGUAGGGGUAGAAAUGAAAUUUUAAUUUUUAAUAGUUUAAAUCUUUAUAAUUUUUAAAAGAUUAAAUCAAAUUUUUAUAAUUUUAGUGGGGUCAAAGUGUAAUUUUACUUUUACUAAAUUAAAAUUUUAAAAAUUUCUAAAGUCCCUGCAAAAUUCACAUGAUAAUAAAUACUUGAAUAGGAAACUAACUUGGUAUUACAUUAUAAGAAAUGCUUAAUCAUGAGGUGUGUUGUGGUGUUUUCAAUUGAAAUAUGCUUCAUCAUCAAUUAGCCACUUAUGUUUGUUAGGCUUUAAUUGAAAACACAACUGGCUAACAAAAGAACCAUACAACUAAAAGCUUAUUCGUCUUCUACUUCUGAGACUCAAACCAGUCUAUCUAAAGAAAUGUACAAACAUCUGCCUUUUGACAAAGGCAUGUUUGACCUAUUUUAACUCAAGACGCAAACCAGCGCAUGCUUACCUUUGAGUACAGAGGAUCCUUUGGGUCUAAGUUUAGAAAAUCGCCAUGAAAAACUUCAAUAUAUACAACCAAUUAAGAGUAACAUACCACAACAAAAAUUCUCAUACAAGUGAGGAUAAUGACAACAACAUAUGCGAGGAGAUGACUGAAAUGAAAACCUAUGCAUAAGAUUUUAUUUUUGGGAUUCGGCCAGCACCCAUCAAUAUUCAUUAUAUAACCAAAAUGAAUCUGCAUAAGCAGGGGCAAAGCCAGAACAAUCUUUUAAGGGGCUGAAUGAAAUUUUAAAUUUUUAUAGUUUAUAUUUUUAUAAUUUUUAAAGGAUUAAAUUAAAUUUUUAUAAUUUUAGGGGGACAAAAUAUAAUUUUACUUUUACAAAUUUAAAUUUUUUUAAAAAUUUUAAGAACUUAAAUAACAAUUUUAUAUUUUAGAGAGGUUGGGGCCUAUGCCAACCCCUCUAGAUUCGCAAUUGUGCAUGUGUAUAAAAUAUUUAAACAAUUAUAAAUAUAAAAAUGACUCAAUAUACAAGUAACAACAUAAAAAUAAUAAAUUAAUAAAUUGACAAGUUUUUCUAGCAAGAACACUAGGUAAACAAGCAAUGUGUGAUGAUCAUUAACUCACCUCCCAUCCUAAUUCAAGAUUAAGAGCCACUGCCACCAUAGAACUCGCUUUCCCCUGUAUGAUUGCAAAUUUGAGUCAAACAAAAAAACCUAAAAGAAAUUGAGAAAUUGCUAUUAGUGCAUGGUCACAAUAUUCCAACCGUAGACAACUAUAUUCGUAGCGACUAAUCCAAAAAUCAAUUUAGUGGACCGAAAUUGAAUUAUAAAAUUUUGAAAUGUCAAAAUAUAAUUUUAUCAUUUAUUAAUUUAUGAUUUCAUUAUUUUUGUAGAGAUUAAACAUAAUUUUUUUUACUUUAAGAGAGCCAAAGUGUAAUCUUACCAUAUAUUGACUUAAAAUUUUAUUAUUAAUAAAAAUAUUAAAUUACAUAAUUUUUAUUUUUAUAGAGUCCAAAACUUCUACGUGCCCCUUUUAAAUUUACCCCUAUUUACUAGUCAGUUAUUCAUGAAUUAUUAAAGACUUAAUUGCAUAAACAUGUUUACCUUCGUUACAUUUGAUAAGAUAAUAAUCCUUAAAAUAUAUAAAUAGCAUAAUUCGCAAACAAAUUAAAUAUAAAUUUAAAUUAGUUUAAAAGUAAAUUCACGAAUAAAUUUAUUUUUAUACUUAUUCAAACUAAAAAUAAAAACAAUUAUUUAAAUAUAUUUUGCUUUAAACAAUUAUUAUAUUCUAUUAUUAAAUCAAUUUUUGAGGCAAUAUUCGAACUAAUAAUUUUAAAUACAUUUUUAUUAUAUUCUUAUAAGAAAUACAUACAAUAUUUAAAUAUAUAUAUGAACAUGCAUGUACAAUUUUUUAUCUCUUCCUUUUAUUUUUGUUUCUCUCUUUUCAGUUUAAUUUGCAUGUCUUUGUACUAUUUCAAGCUUUUGAAAUUUGGUUUUUUUUUUUUACUUUAAUUUUAAGAAAUUAAUCUCUCUAUUAAUUUAAAAAUUAAAAUCUAAGUAAUAAUAUUUUUAUUAGACUACUAUUGAUUUUGAAUAAGCGGUAUUUUAAUAGUCAAAGGCUUGAUUUAAAAAUUAAACAAAUUCAAAGUUAAUAGAAGUCAAAUAACAAUGUUGUCAAUUAAACAUUAUCUUUUAAGAGUUAAUUGCAAUCAUACACCUUUAAAAUAUAACCUUUGUUGACACCAUUUUUUUGAUUGAAAAACGGGGUCGACUUGGAUUUUGAAAAUAAAACGAAAUUGGGAGUCGCCACCAAUCUUUUUUGAUGAGGUGUGAUCGGGUCACCUCGUAAAAUGGUUGUUUUUGAUAAACAAUUUGAUUUUAUUAAAACAACGAGUUUGGUCUACGAAAUCCAAAAACAGGUUCGGGAGUCGGUUACGCACGAGGAAGGGUUAGCACCCUCGAUACGCCCAAAAUUGGUACCUAGUUGAUUUCUUAAUGUCUUGGUGUCGAAAAUUAAAAACUCAAAAAGAAUUUAAAAUACGAUCCCUCCUUAUAUUGUUAUUUUAAAAUUACUCAAAUAAAUCAAAAUGGAAAAUGCUUCCUUAUCUCGAAGUAACAAGAUGUCACGUCCAGUAAGUUAGGAUACAACACAUCGUAUUUUCGAGAGUAAGCUUGCCUUUAUUUUUUGUUUAAACCUCAUUUAUUUUAAUUUCAAAAGGAUGUUCGGUUAUUUAGGAUCAACGCGAGAAGAAUCGAAGCUCAGUAAGUUAGGGCACGAUUUUCUCGAAUUUUCUAAAUACGAAAUAUUGCCUUCAUUAUCGAAAGUUUAAAAGGGUAUUUGGCCAUUUGGUCGAACGAGAAAUCGGAACCCAGCACGUUAGGGCACGUUUUCUCGAAUUUUCCAAAAUCGAAAUAUUGCCUUAAUUUAAAACUUUUCCUUUUUGAAUAAUUGCGAGUACAAUACUCGAACGGGAUGCAUUUGUUUUGGGAGUAAAACAAAAUAGAUUAUAUCGAAUAAAAAUGUUGAAACAUUCACGAUGCAAUAGCAUGAAAUAAAAUAUAAUAGUGCACACGGGAUAAUAAUAUAGGAAUACAAUACUGAUGUAAGUGAAUGCCAAUGAUAUGAAAGCGAAUAAACGAAUUAACGUACACGUAAUGGCAAUAAUCUCACAACAUUCAUCAUUUAAAAAUAACAUCAAUAAAUAAAGUCUAAUGAAUUAAAAAAUAAUUUAAAAAAGUAUAAAACAAACUAAAAUCAAAUAAAAAUGUAAAAAAAUAAAAUAAAAUAAAAUGGUGAUUGAGAAUAUAUAUAAAACAAAUUUAAAAAGGAUGAUAUAUAUAAAUAAAACAAAUGAUGUACAUAUAUGUAUAAGUAUAACAUAAUAUAAGAAAAGAAAAAUCUAAAAAAUAAAAAAAUAAUAAAGCAUUUUAAAAUAAAUAUGUUGCAUUUAAAAAGGUGUUCAAAACCAUUUUUAAAUAAUAAAACACGAAUCUGGACUGAAAUGAACGCGGGUAAAACAACCAGGGACUAAUCCUGGAAUUAUUCCUAAAGUCCCAUGCGCAGCGUUUCACUGGGACUGAAAUGAAUCAACAGCGAAACCUUCGGGGUCAAAUUAAAAAGCUUAAAAAGAUAAAAGGACUGCAUUGAAGACAGGUAACAAAACUAAAGGAUCCGCAACGCAAAUAACCCAUUCGGCCUUGAGAACGCGCGGAUCCUCUGCUUAACCGGGUCGGGUCUUUGGGUUAAAGACGAAACGGCGUCGUUUUGGCCAUGGUGCUAAGGCCCAAAACGACGUCGUUUUACACCCAAAAUAAAUACUCUAAAAAAAACAAAAAUCAGUUUAAACCCACUUUUAAAAAAAAUCAGAGAGCUUUCAAACUCUCUCUAACAGCCUCGAAUCCGGCCACAUGGGGCCACCGUCUGCGCCGCCGUGGCUCCACCGUAGGCGGUGGCCGGAGCGACGUGGGGAUCGGAUUUUCAACCCGAUUUAAUGACCAUUUGAAGGCCAAACCUUCUAGGCUCAAAAGCCGAAAGAAGAGAACCCCCCAACACCCCUUCGGGGUCCGAUUUCAGUGACCAAACACGGCCACCGGCGAUGGGAUUUACGGCGAACAGGUAUGGCGCUCUUCCUCUCUUCUUUCUAUUUAUUAUUUAUUGUUAAAACUAUUUGUAAAAGAGAUGAACAAAACAAAAAAUAAUAAGAAUAAGAAUAAAAAGAAAACAUCAAACAGAAAACAAAAAAGAAGAAAAGAAAACGAUCAGAUUUUUAACUUAUAAAAUCUGUGUUCUCAUUUUGAUUAAUUUAUGUAUGUUCGUUUACACAGAAAAUCGAAGGAGCUCUAAAAAUGGCUCUUGUUGUUUUUUAUAGGCCAUUACAAACUGUUUUUUUAUUAUUAUUGAUUGCUCUUUAUUUCUUUGCCUUCAUUUCUCUUAUCAGGUGGUCUGACACGCGUGGAGGGCCAACGGCGGUAGUGUCAGAGGCGUGCACUGAAGGUGCCUGGUGGCUGGGGGUGGCAGACGAGGAGGCCACCCGAGGCAUGCGGCUCCUAGGGUUUCUUUUACUCAUUUCUGCUGAAAAUGUUAAUGUUGUUUGGGCUAGGUUUUUAAUUUUUGGGCCCAUUUGUGAUUGGGUUAUUAUUUUUACUAGGCCAGCAAAUUUGGGCUUUUACAGCUGCCCCUCUUUGCUCGUUUUCGUGUAACGAGAACAGAGCAAAGACUAAGAAGGACCAAAUUUGUCUGGUCUCGCCGAGGCUUGGUUUCUUUGGGUACUGCUCCAAUCCACUGCGUCUUAUUACUUCGAUCCUCUUUACGGCAUCUUUAGAGAGAUAUGACUUCAAUCUACUCUGCUACGACUCCAUGGGAAUGAGAUUUGUGUUUUUAGUCUGCUCCACUACUACUUAGGGAGAUAAGACUGGAUGUGAUCUGCUCCACUACUGCUUAGGGAGAUAAGAUCUGUGCUCUUCACUCUAUUCCACUGUUGCCCAGGGAGAUAGAACUACCAGAUUCAAUGUACUCCACCGUAAUCAGGGAGGUAAAAUCUGCCAUCUUCGACCUACUCCACUAUUGCUUAGGGAGAUAAGAUCUGUAAUCUUCACUCUAUUCCACUGUUGCCCAGGGAGAUAGAACUACUGGCUUUAAUGUACUCCACCGUAAUCAGUGAGGUAAAAUCCACCAUCUUCGACCUGCUCCACUAUUGUCUAGGGAGAUAAGAUCUGUAAUCUUCACUCUAUUCCACUGUUGCCCAGGGAGAUAGAACUACUGGCUUUAAUGUACUCCACCGUAAUCGGAGAGGUAAAAUUCACCAUCUUCGACCUGUUCCACUAUUGCUUAGGGAGAUAAGAUCUGGUUUCUUUCGUCUGCUCCACUACUGCUUAGGGAGAUAAGACUUGAUGUGAUCUGCUCCACUACUGCUUAGGGAGAUAAGAUCUGUGGUUUUGUCCGUUCCGCUACUGCUUAGGGAGAUAAGACUUGAUACGAUCCGCUCCACUAUUGCUUAGGGAGAUAAGAUCUGUGGUUUUCACUCUAUUCCACUAUUGAAUGCAGGGAGAUAGAGUUAUCGGCUUCAAUGUACUCCACUGUAGUCAGGGAGGUAAAAUCCGCCAUCGUCGAUCUGCUUCGCUGCCCAAUACAGGAAGGCAAGAUCUGCAAUCCUCAAUCUAUUCCACUGUCAAAUACAGGGACAAGAUCUGCUUUCUUCGAUCUACUUCACCACCAGUAUGGGAAGACAAGAUCUGUAUCUUGGAUCCACUUCCUAUCAAUAUAGGAAGAUAGGACCUGCUAUCUUCGAUCUACUUCACGCCAAUACAUGAAGACAAGAUCUGCUUUCUGCGAUCUACUUCGCCACCAAUAUGGGAAGACAAGAUCUGCAUCGUCGAUCCACUUCCUACCAAUAUAGGAAGACCGGACCUGCUAUCUUCGAUCUACUUCACGCCAAUACAUGAAGACAAGAUCUGCUUUCUGCGAUCUACUUCGCCACCAAAUGGGAAGACAAGAUCUGCAUCUUCGAUCCACUUCCUACUAAUAUAGGAAGAUAGGAUCUGCUACCUUCGAUCUACUUCACGCCAAUACAUGAAGAUAAGAUCUGCUUUCUGCGAUCUACUUCGCCACCAAUAUGGGAAGACAAGAUCUGUAAUCUUCAAUCUAUUCCACUGCCAAAUACAGGGAGAUAGAGUUAUUGACUUCAAUCUACUCCACUGUAGUCACAGGGAGGUAAAAUCUGCCAUCUUCGAUCUGCUUCGCUGCCAAAUACAGGAAGGCAAGAUCUGCAAUCUUCAAUCUAUUCCACUGCCAGAUACAGGGAGAUAGAGUUAUCGGCUUCAAUGUACUCCACUGUAGUCAUAGGGAGGUAAAAUCUGCCAUCUUCGAUCUGCUUUGCUGCCAAAUACAGGAAGGCAAGAUCUGCAAUCUUCAAUCUAUUCCACUGCCAGAUACAGGGAGAUAGAGUUAUCGGCUUCAAUGUACUCCACUGUAGUCACAGGGAGGUAAAAUCUGCCAUCUUCGAUCUACUUCGCUGCCAAAUACAGGAAGGCAAGAUCUGCAAUCUUCAAUCUGCUCUGCUACAAACGAGAGAGGCAAGGUUUGUCUUCGAUCUGCUUCGCUGUCAGUGCAGGAAGGCAAGAUCUGCUAUCUUCAACCAGCUCUACUACAAACGAGAGAGGCAAGGUUUAUCUUCAAUUUUUACUGAUCUGUUCUCUAGGGAACAUGACCUGUAUAAUGAACCUAAUUAUGCCUAAUGAUUAGGAUGGCAUGAUCAAAAUGAAUCAAAUGCUCCUAACUAGACAUGCGUGAAUGGUAUUUGAAUGAAUGCAGAAUGUCAUGAAAAUAAUUCCUUAAUGCUUAGGUUAUCAUCGCUCAAAAGCUUAUUAAGGCUUUAUCACUAACGUGUCGCAGCGCCUUCUUGACCAGCCGGCAUUUCUAAAGAAACACGUAAUCUGAUUGCCCCCACUGUGAACAUCGUAGUUCAAUCCAUUGUGACAUAAAAUUUGUACCAUCAAUCUCCUACUGUAACCCAAGGGUAGAAAGAUAUGGCUUUUUUCAAUCUUCUCCUAUCGUAAUUCAAGGGUAUAAGAUUUAAAUCCUUCUGGUCCCUUACAUCGUUCCCAAGGUGUCGUACCAAAGACUCAUGCGCAAACAAGGGCUCUCCUUCCCGAGGUAACCUCUUCCUAUUGCCUGAAGAUCAUCACUUUCUUGUUUAUUCAAGCUUUGUCACCAACAUGGCAUCUUGUCAAUCAACGCAUUUGACGACAAAAAUCCAAAGAGAAAGUCUAAAUUUAGACUAUUCCUUCCCAAAUUUCCAACCUUUAAAUUUGGAGUGUUCUAAACAAUUGUCCUGCUUCAGGCUCCUAUAUUAUUUAGAAACUUUUCAGAGUAAUAUGCAAAACUUCCUUCGUGAAAAUUUUAUUAGUCCAUUAAUCAUUAUUCCAAUGCAACAUGCUUGCAAAAGAUCAUAACGAUAGAUAAAAUAAAAUUGAUUUGAGAGCAUAGCUCAAAAUGGAUAAACUAUCAAGGAUAGCAAGAAUAAAAGGGGAAUUAAUUGGAAACACGUAUCUUGAAAAAGAAUGAAGUAUUCCAAGAAGAAAAAAAAGAAAAAAAAAGUAUGAGGACAAGAUGCCCCAGAUAUCGUAGCUUGAACUUCUCUGUACCAACUCUUUGAAAGACCAUUCUGUGUUUGACAUGUGUUUAGGAGAUCUACAAGACUUUGUCGAUGCCCCAAGAUGCUACCUACCCUUUCCUGUUGAAUCAGGUAUAGCAAGAUCAUUACAUGCCCCGAUUUGAUCAAAAUUUGAGCUGCUCUGAUCGCCUCAUGCCCCAAUUUGAUCCAAAAUUUGAGUCGCUCUUUUUUUGGGUUUUCAACUCAAGCCCCUUUGGUCUCAAGGCGCCCUUUGCGGGUUUUCACCUUGGCCUCUCCUUUUUUCACUCAUUUUUCUUUUCUUCUUUUUCAUUAAUUUUCUCUUUUUUAAGUGAAGUAUUUGUUCCUUGAAUCAAAAUUCUCAAGAUUAGGCAAGUUCUUGCCAUCUAUCUUGGUUAAUACCUACACUCUCCCAGAUAAAGCCUUCCACAUAAGGUCCUUCUGGCUUGGCAUCCACUUUCUUCUGAAGUCCCCUUUGUAUGGGAAGGAUCUUCUUUGAUAUCGGGUCCCCUUUGUGGAAUUCUCUGGAGGAAACCUUGUUUUGGUGAACUCAUACCAUUUGCUUUUGGUACAUUUGACCAUGAUAGAUAUUUUGAACAUUCCUCUUCAACCAGGAUUGGAUCCAAAAACUCAAAGAGAAGGAAAUCUUGACCUCAAUAGGUAAAACCGCGAUAAGCCCAAAAAGAGGGCGUUGCCCUGAGAGAGUUUUUUUUGGCGAUAUGGUGUUAAUCUUGAACAGACUGCAAACUUCUGAUAUUGUGCUCUUGUUCAAAUUUAGUGCAUUGUCAAAUAUGAUCCUUUUCGACUUUUCAAGCUGACGUGAUUUUUUUAAAAAAUUGCUGUCGACUUUGUGACAUUGGCAUAUGAAGCAGCUUCUUCCCGUGAAGAUAAACUGAUGACCGCUAGACUCUUUUGACGAGAUUGACCUAACAACCUUCAUGCCCCACAUAGGGGAAGUCAUAGACUCCAUUGAUUUUUCGUAAGGUGGAAUCUAUUUUUCACCUUGUUCUACCCUCCUCAAUAAGUACGGAGAUAGGCCACAAUCUAUGUCCUCUUCGAAGUCAUGAGAUUCCUCUAAACACAUGUCUCACUCAAAAGGAGGUUCUGAGUUUGUAGCAGUGUCAUUCAUGUCGUUGAUAUUCAGGGACCCAUUAUAGGUGCAAAAGAAUAUACAAAGAAUGUACGAAUUUAAGAAUAAUUAUCUGUACAGUAUGAUUAUGAAUGAAUGAAUGAUUUGGAAGAAAGAAUGAAAGAUUAAAAAUAAUUAUUCAUAAAGAAUGAAAGAAUAUUAGCUCAAAAAUGAUUGCAAAGAUUCAUUUCAUUAAAAUAACGACGUUCAGACAUGAGCCUAUUUCACAAAAAGAGUUCAUAUUGCUUCAGGCUAAAAGCAACAAGUUUAUUCUGAAUAUUACUCUAAGUAGGUUCUAAAUACUACAGAGACUUCUUUUACAGUCUGAUUUAUUUAGAACACUUCCAAGUUUAUAAGGGUCGAUAUCUAAUAAAGUCCCUUCUUCAAUUGUGUCUUCAUGCAUGUCAUUGAUGUGAACACUUCCCAACAUCUCUUCAUACAUCGCAUUCACCUUAUUGUCAAUCAUGAUUGGGUAGCAGAUUUUCUGCCGUAGAUGAGUCACCCAACUUGACAAUACCCAUGUUGAUGAGUUUUUCAACUAGUUUCUUGAAGGUGAUGCAAUUCUCUAUUGAGUGCCCCGUAAUUCCUGCGUGGUAGUCACAGUGUGUGUUCGCAUUAUACCACUUUGGAUAUGGAGGUUGUGGGGGUUUUGAGUAGGAAGGGGAAACAACAUGCGCAUCGAAUGAAUUUUGAUACAACUCUUCAUAUGACAUUGGAAUUGUUGUGAACUGGAGGUUCUCAGUACCUGGUUUCACUCCAGGUUCUUGUCUCAAAUAGCCUUGUUGGUUAGCGACCAUUUUUCUUGGCUGAUUCACCGUAAUUGGUUUUGAAUAACCCUUGCUAUAUGUACUCGUGUUGUUCACCUCAUUGUCUUUGUGCUUUGGGGUUGAUCUCUUGAUGCAUUCUUCCGCAUCUAUCUUCCCACUUCUUAUUGCAUUUUCAAUCAUUUCACCAGACAUCACUACAUCUGAGAAGCUCAUGGUAGCACUUCCUAACAUGUGGUUAAUGAACGGUGCUUUCAGAGUGUUGAUGAAAAGCAUCGUGGUUUCUUUCUCUAAAAGAGGUGGCUGGACCUGUGUCGCGACCCCUCUCCAUCUUUGGGCAUAUUGCCUAAAGCUCUCACUUUGCUUCUUUUCCAUGUUCUGCAAUGUGAUUCUAUCGGGUGUCAUAUCCGUUACAUGACUGUACUGCUUCAUAAAAGCUUGCGCCAAGUCUCUCCAUGAACUAACUUUAACACGACUCAGUUGGUUGUACCAUUUGGCUACAGAUCCGAUCAAACUGUCCUGGAAGCAGUGGAUUAACAGUUGAUCGUUGUUGACGUAUCCUGUCAUUCUUCGACAGAACAUAGUUAUAUGAGCUUCAGGACAACUAGUCCCAUUAUAUUUUUCAAAUUCCGGCAUUUUGAACUUAGGUGGGAGUACUAAAUCAGGGACCAAACUCAGAUCCUUGGCGUCAACCCCGCGAUGAUAGUCGAUGUUCUCCAUAAAUCUAAAUUUUUCCUCUAACCAUCUACAUCGGUCCUCCAGUUAUUUUGGCAGGUUCAUUCUUGUUUUUUCUGUUUCUGCCACGUCAUCGAGGUCCGGGACCACCGGAUUAGUGGGAUUAUCCCCGGGAUUAGAACCUGAGCCCAUUUGAAAAUGCAAUGGUACCGAGGCACCAGCCAGAUAUUGAGGUCUAAUGGUAACCGGUACCCACUGUGGGUACACCUCUGGUUGUGCUUGGAUGUUAGUUGGGGUGAAACCUGGAGGAUAAACAGGGUCAUCGUGAUCUUCCCCAGCAUCAACUACGGGGUCUUUUCCUUUGUUAUUUCCUCCAGCCAAUAACUGCUUUAAUUGGUUCAUCACAGUGUUCUGGGAUUCUAACAUGUCCUGCUGGAUUUUUUCCAGUCGUUCAUGCAUCUGAUCUUGCAUCUCUCGUUGCAACUGUUCCAAUCUUUCCAACCUUUGAUCCAUUGCUUUUGUUUGGCGACGAGUACCGUAGUGAUAUUUGAUUAGAUUUUUGUUGGUUUCCAGGGUAACUGUCAUAAUUUAAUUUUAUUAGGGUCAUUUUAUGAGAUGUAAUGCAAAUGUAUGAGAUGAAUGCAAAAAAGAGGCAUUGAUUCGAAUUCAAUUUCAUUAGAAAACUCAACUAGAAAGCAAAUUUCUUUACAUAAAAUAAAUUACAUAUACGGCUUCGCCUUUAUACCCAAAGCCUUAACCUUCCUAAGAAGCCAAGCUAAAUCUCGACCUCGGCUUGAUUCUGACUCAUAUUUUAAACUCAAUACAUCAGCCUGAACUGCUAAUGUUUGCAGAUGAUCAGCCACUUCCCGCACUUGAGUCACAGCUUUGCCCAUAACGUAAUCUCUAUCUCUAAUCUGCCUUUGAGAAUGAUGGAAUUGCUCUUGCCAUUGAUCAUUACUCCUCUCAAGAAGCUCCAUUCGUAGCUCAGAAUUGUGUAAUGCGCCCUCAAGCUCCUCUACCUUUCCUUUCAGUUCUUCGAUCUUAUUUAAGCUUGCUCUUAAUUCGAUCAUGGAGUUGCGACUACGGUACGAGUGAAGUGACUUUUCUAGCUCUGCCACCUUGGCCUUUAAUCCUGCCUUCUCAUUUCGGCACUCUAACAAACUCCUUUCCAAAGCGUUUUCUCGAGCUCGAGCAUCUUAAAAUUUCUUUUCCCACUGAUUGGCCCUAUUCUUUUCCUCAUUGAUCUCUUGUCGCCACUGCUCUGACGUUUUACCCAGACCGACAGUUCUCAUCGACAAUCGCAGCUUCUUGUAAUCUGUUUUUAGACUAUCCAAAUCCUCUUCAGCUUUGUUCUUUCCCUUCCUUAAUUUCUCGGCUUCUAGCUUGUGGAUAUCGAUGUCUAAUCCCAAAUGCACUCUUUCUUCUUUUAACUGUUCUAUCCUCUUUCCCAACUCAGAAUUUCUUUUCUCAAAGUCUCGUUUGAUGAUCUCUAAUUCUGACGGAACUACUUGUAGAUGCUCCUCUAUAGACUGAACGCAAUCUUCCCUCGGCUUAGGGAUGUUGUCAUUGACUCUUUUACUCCACCACCCAUAAUAUUCUGAAGUUGCCAUCGCUCCUACGGUAAAUCUUUUCAUUCGGUGAACCUGUUUCCAAGCGUUAGAUAUUUCUCGAGUUUUUCUCUUGUAGUUUUCAUCCUUAUAAGAAAACUCACAUUGAGCCAGCCCUUGUGUUGCUGGUAUGAACUGUCUCGAUCUAUAUUGUCUUAAUACGAGUAAAGGGGCAUAACCGACAGCUCUCCAAAUUCCGAGUAAAGGGACCCAGUCGAAAUCCCCACAUCGGUACAGGAUCUCGUCGAGUACCAUCCAAGGAGCUUUCCAUUCAACGUCAUCCUCCUGAAGAUUUUGGAGCAUCGUCAUCCACUUUUCUUCCGUGGUGUCGUCUCGUCUUGGUGUAGCAACUUGUUCCUUCAAUGGAGAAUAGUCUUCUGAGAAGACUCGAUAGGAGACAUUUUCCACCUUCCAAAAGUGACUAUGGAACCACACCAAUAGUAGCUGCGCGCAUCCGAUGAACCUUCCCUCCCCUGCUCUUCGACAUGCGCUUAGAGAUCUGAAGGUUUCUGCUAAGAUUGCCGGGAUGGGCGUGACUCCUUUACUAAGCCGAUCGAACAAAUCAGAGACGGCCUCAUCUACGUGCCCUAAAGCUCUAGGGAAAAUUACCAAUCCAUAGAUACCUAGAGCGAAGACAUCCACUCUUUUCUUCACAUCAGGGUGUGCUAAUACUAAAUCUCGCAAGCUUUUCCAAGGAACGCAUUUACUGUCUCCUUUCUGUUGGAUCCGGGCAGCGACCCACUGUUCGCUCAUCCCUGUAAUGCUCAUCAAUUUUUUUAAUAAUGUCGGGACACUAGCAGCUCUAGAAUAGGCUUUGUCAAUUUGAAUCUUUGGACACCGAAGCAGGGUCGUAUAUUCUUCCAUGGUAGGAACCAAGUCCACUUUUCCAAAAGUGAAACAACUGUAAGCAGGAUUCCAAAACUGGGCUAGGGCUCGGAAUAAAUGCUUGUCCACUUUGAUACCAAGUAGGUAAGGCAAGUCCCCGUAGUCACAGUAAAACAUCUGCUUGGUCCCGUCGUCCCAUUGAUCCCAUAUUUCCUUCAUUUCUCGAAGAUCAUUUUGGAUUACGCUGAUACGGGUGAAGUCCCAUAACUCUGAUACGUACCCUUCUGCAAGACUAUCGCCUUUCUCUCUCCACAUCGUCUCAGCCCAUAAUUGUACAGCUGCAUUGUCUUCUACUUUAUCAAGAAACCUCAUUUCCAUGAUAAGCUUUCUAUCUAUACUGAACGUGAAUCGACACCUCUUUUGAAAUGAAAAUGCCAUGCAAUCACAAACAAAGCAAAUUAGAUCUAGGAUUUAAAGUAAACAAUAAUAAAUAAAGCAUCUAUUCGGUAAGCACUAGGGUCUGGAAUAGCUCUAUCUCGGUGGGUUCUUAUGGCUCGCUAUGUGUGGUUUGGUUCUAAAGUAAGGGUACCUGAACCAGCAGAUUCCUCGAUCCUCACGCAUUAUAGGCUCAUAUGGACUGAGUUCAGUUCAGGGGAAUACAUUUCCCUAUGGCCAUGCGGAGAUGAAAAUCUCACGAAGACAUAGGUACGGAUGUAUCCCGGAAGCGAUUCACUAUCCCAUGCGGAGGUGAAAACCUCACGAAGGCGUAGUUUCUCACUCCCACUUAAAAGGUGUGACCAACGGUCAUGCAAUGGAAUGUGCAGAAAUAUACACCUAAACUCUAAACAAAGCAGUAAUUAUAAACAAAUAAUAAAAGCCAAAAUAAAGGCAAAAAGCAAGUUUUCAAUUUUGACACAAAGACAAAAAGCAAUCAACUCGUGGCUUGACUCUCUUAAUGUCCCCAGUGGAGUCGCCAAGCUGUUGACACCAUUUUUUUGAUUGAAAAACGGGGUCGACUUGGAUUUUGAAAAUAAAACGAAAUUGGGAGUCGCCACCAAUCUUUUUUGAUGAGGUGUGAUCGGGUCACCUCGUAAAAUGGUUGUUUUUGAUAAACAAUUUGAUUUUAUUAAAACAACGAGUUUGGUCUACGAAAUCCAAAAAUAGGUUCGGGAGUCGGUUACGCACGAGGAAGGGUUAGCACCCUCGAUACGCCCAAAAUUGGUACCUAGUUGAUUUCUUAAUGUCUUGGUGUCGAAAAUUAAAAACUCAAAAAGAAUUUAAAAUACGAUCCCUCCUUAUAUUGUUAUUUUAAAAUUACUCAAAUAAAUCAAAAUGGAAAAUGCUUCCUUAUCUCGAAGUAACAAGAUGUCACGUCCAGUAAGUUAGGAUACAACACAUCGUAUUUUCGAGAGUAAGCUUGCCUUUAUUUUUUGUUUAAACCUCAUUUAUUUUAAUUUCAAAAGGAUGUUCGGUUAUUUAGGAUCAACGCGAGAAGAAUCGAAGCUCAGUAAGUUAGGGCACGAUUUUCUCGAAUUUUCUAAAUACGAAAUAUUGCCUUCAUUAUCGAAAGUUUAAAAGGGUAUUUGGCCAUUUGGUCGAACGAGAAAUCGGAACCCAGCACGUUAGGGCACGUUUUCUCGAAUUUUCCAAACGCGAAAUAUUGCCUUAAUUUAAAACUUUUCCUUUUUGAAUAAUUGCGAGUACAAUACUCGAACGGGAUGCAUUUGUUUUGGGAGUAAAACAAAAUAGAUUAUAUCGAAUAAAAAUGUUGAAACAUUCACGAUGCAAUAGCAUGAAAUAAAAUAUAAUAGUGCACACGGGAUAAUAAUAUAGGAAUACAAUACUGAUGUAAGUGAAUGCCAAUGAUAUGAAAGCGAAUAAACGAAUUAACGUACACGUAAUGGCAAUAAUCUCACAACAUUCAUCAUUUAAAAAUAACAUCAAUAAAUAAAGUCUAAUGAAUUAAAAAAUAAUUUAAAAAAGUAUAAAACAAACUAAAAUCAAAUAAAAAUGUAAAAAAAUAAAAUAAAAUAAAAUGAUGGUGAUUGAGAAUAUAUAUAAAACAAAUUUAAAAAGGAUGAUAUAUUUAAAUAAAACAAAUGAUGUACAUAUAUGUAUAAGUAUAACAUAAUAUAAGAAAAGAAAAAUCUAAAAAAUAAAAAAAUAAUAAAGCAUUUUAAAAUAAAUAUGUUGCAUUUAAAAAGGUGUUCAAAACCAUUUUUAAAUAAUAAAACACGAAUCUGGACUGAAAUGAACGCGGGUAAAACAACCAGGGACUAAUCCUGGAAUUAUUCCUGAAGUCCCAUGCGCAGCGUUUCACUGGGACUGAAAUGAAUCAACAGCGAAACCUUCGGGGUCAAAUUAAAAAGCUUAAAAAGAUAAAAGGACUGCAUUGAAGACAGGUAACAAAACUAAAGGAUCCGCAAUGCAAAUAACCCAUUCGGCCUUGAGAACGCGCGGAUCCUCUGCUUAACCGGGUCGGGUCUUUGGGUUAAAGACGAAACGGCGUCGUUUUGGCCAUGGUGCUAAGGCCCAAAACGACGUCGUUUUACACCCAAAAUAAAUACUCUAAAAAAAACAAAAAUCAGUUUAAACCCACUUUUAAAAAAAAUCAGAGAGCUUUCAAACUCUCUCUAACAGCCUCGAAUCCGGCCACAUGGGGCCACCGUCUGCGCCGCCGUGGCUCCACCGUAGGCGGUGGCCGGAGCGACGUGGGGAUCGAAUUUUCAACCCGAUUUAAUAACCAUUUGAAGGCCAAACCUUCUAGGCUCAAAAGCUGAAAGAAGAGAACCCCCCAACACCCCUUCGGGGUCCGAUUUCAGUGACCAAACACGGCCACCGGCGAUGGGAUUUACGGCGAACAGGUAUGGCGCUCUUCCUCUCUUCUUUCUAUUUAUUAUUUAUUGUUAAAACUAUUUGUAAAAGAGAUGAACAAAACAAAAAAUAAUAAGAAUAAGAAUAAAAAGAAAACAGCAAACAGAAAACAAAAAAGAAGAAAAGAAAACGAUCAGAUUUUUAACUUAUAAAAUCUGUGUUCUCAUUUUGAUUAAUUUAUGUAUGUUCGUUUACACAGAAAAUCGAAGGAGCUCUAAAAAUGGCUCUUGUUGUUUUUUAUAGGCCAUUACAAACUGUUUUUUUAUUAUUAUUGAUUGCUCUUUAUUUCUUUGCCUUCAUUUCUCUUUGCAGGUGGUCUGACACGCGUGGAGGGCCAACGGCGGCAGUGUCAGAGGCGUGCACUGAAGGUGCCUGGUGGCUGGGGGUGGCAGACGAGGAGGCCACCCGAGGCAUGCGGUUCCUAGGGUUUCUUUUACUCAUUUCUGCUGAAAAUGUUAAUGUUGUUUGGGCUAGGUUUUUAAUUUUUGGGCCCAUUUGUGAUUGGGUUAUUAUUUUUACUAGGCCAGCAAAUUUGGGCUUCUACAACCUUCAUUCUAAAUUGGUCGUCAAACUUUAAAACAUUUUAAUUACAUCCCUAAACUAUCAAAGUUUUACAUAUAAAAUCCUUCCAUUGCUAAAAUCAAUAUUCUAACCAUCAAAUUAGAUGUUAAAUGUUAUGUGACAUUGUUUUAAAUAGAAAAAGUUAAAUGAAAAAUGAAUAUCAUUGGAAUGGAAAAAACUUGAAUUUCGGCUUUUCGAAGCUUUUACAAAUACUUAUAGCUCACACUUUUUUUUUUAGUUUUUAACUUUUAAAAGUUACUAGAUAACACUUUUCUUUAAAAUUUUCGUUUUAAAUUAUGUUAUAUAAGAUUUAGCAUAUCAUUUAAUAGUUUUAAUAAUUAAAAGACUUGAUUGAUAUAACAUUAUUAACUUGGGGAUGUAAUUAGAAUAUUUUGAAGUUUGGAGGCCCAUUUAAAAUGAGGGUUAUAGUUUAGGAAUAUAUGGUGUAACUAACUCCCUUUAAAAAAAAUAAAACAGUAACUAUAUUCCUAAAAUUAGAAACUAAGGGUACGUUUGGUUCGCUGUAUUAGAUUAGAGGUGUAUUGGAUUAGAGUUGUAUUGGAUUAGAGGUGUAAUAGCAAAUCAACUGUUUGGUUGACUGUAAUGGAAUAGAGGCGUAAUAGUAAUCUUGUGUUUGGUUGAAUGGAAUAGAGGUGUAAUAGCAUAAUGGAAAAAACUAAAAUGACUAGAAUACCCUUACCAUAAAUUUGUUUUGGUAAAUAAUUAUUGUUAUUAUUAUUUAAAUUUUAAUAAGAUUAUUAUUAUCAAUAAUAAAUAAUUUAAUCAUAUUUAAACAUAAUUAUUAUUAGAUAUAUUAUAAUUAAAAUAUAGAAUUUAAUAAAAUUCUUAAUAAUCAAUAUUCUUAUAUGAAUUUACUCAAAUAAUAAUAUAUGAUACUAUAAAAUAUAAAUUAACAUAAUUAUUAUUAAAUAUAUUAUAAUUAAAAUAUAUAAUUUAAUAAAAUUCUUAAUAAUUAAUAUUCUUAUAUGAAUUUACUCAAAUCAUAAUAUAUGAUACUAUAAAAGAUAAUUUGAAAUAAUUAAUAUUAAAUAUAUUUUAAUUAAAAUAUAUGAUUUAAUAAAAUUUAAAAUAAUUAUAACUAAUAAAUUAUCUUAUAUGAAUUUGUAUAAUUUAAAAUAAUUAUUAUCUUAGUCAAAAUAUGACUAAUUUUCCGAAGCAUGGGAAGAGGAUUUAUCUAAUAAUUUUAAAAUUUAUCUCAAAAAUGCUUAAAUUAAUAAAUUGCAAAAAGAAAAAAGAAAAAAUCGAGAGGUAUUUGGGUCAGACUCAAGUUAUUUCCAAAAUGUGUUCGGAUGCUUAAAUUAAUGAAUGAAAAAUCACAUAAGCGAUAAAGUGGCAAAACAUUUGCAUAUUAUACAGCUUUAAAGAAACUUAGAAUACACAACAAAUGAUGUUUGCAUUCUAAAAUAUGGUAAAAAAUAUAUUGCUUUAACGAAAAUACAACAAAACAGAUCCCAAUACCAUGCCCCAUGGUUCUAAAUUUACCCACUCUUACUUCGACCAAGCGACCGUAUCGAUUUCAGCUUGUGCACUCCUAUAUAAUUCCAGUCUCUUCGCAAGAGCGGAUCGACGUUCCAUGAUUGCUGGAUCCUCAUUCAGUAAUGCCGAUAAUCGUUUUUGCUAUAAAAGAAAUUUCCCAGAAAUCAUUCACUGAUCAUCUGUUUCACCAAAAUAAGUAACAGACGGUAAGUUGACUCUUAUAAACCUUGAAGAAUACUAAACUCAAUGUCAAAAGAUAGAAAAAUAGCAGGCAAAUUUUAUUUGGUACAUGAACAAUAUAAGCAAAGAUGGGAAUAUACCGGAGUUUCACUCAUAGCCUUGUGAACCAGAUCCUUCAGAAUGGAAUGAGUCUGAAAAAUAUAAAAAAUGAAAUCAAUCCAAUUUGAAGCAUCAGUCUAUGACCAACAUGAUCCCUAGUAAACCGAAACCUUAAUAGCAGUUAAAAAUUAUCAACAUUUUUUAUGUAAGACAACUAAAUAGUAGAGGAUAGCAAGAAUAUUGAUACUUGAAAGAAAAAAAAUGUGUUUUAAGAAUCACAACUGAACUGAUGCUGAAAGAAAAAGAAAACCAGAUGAUCUUGGCAUGCCAAAUUGAAUAUGACAGAUAUAACAUUUUUUCUAAAAUUUACUUUCAUACCGCAUCAACAGCAGCCUCAGCUGGACCUCUGAUAGUAACUAAAGUAGAUUCAAUCAAACGACGGUAUCCUUGUUCAGGAGCUAUUAAAUGUGGUUGAUAGCCAUCAGCUUCAAUAAUGAGCUUCCUAAUAUUCUCCAUUGAUAGUUGCCUGUCAAAUUGCAACCUUUUCAAAGCAGCAGGAAGUUGGUUGUCGAAAACAUUGUAAACCUUAUCACCACCAGUACGCCUGUGAACAACAUUGAAAGUCAAGACAAAAUCUCUAACAAAAUUAGCAAAAUUGAAUGAUGUUGAAGACAGGUGUAUUAAGGAAGGUAAAACAAACAAGACGUGAUACAUACACUCCAUCCAAAUGUUCUCUGAAAUUUUGAUAAAAAAUACGGCAAAUCUCCAUAAUUGUGUACAACUUCCCCUGUAUAAGCAUCUCAAUCAUCAGUAAUUCCUAAAGAGCUUAUAACUAAUAAUCAACUGCAAGUGGAAUAGCCAAAGAAUUCCAAACUCCACACACAAGAGCACACUUACACCCGCAUCAGCUGCAAUAGGCUUUCCAAGGCGACUCAAUUCGGUUUCAAGUUCAGCAAUUGUUUUAUUAAUAAGGGACUGAAUGCCAGGGAUUCUAGACUUGAUAACAGUUUCCAAAUGCUGAGACAUUAACCAGUAUGACAAAGAUAAUACAACUUAAGAAAAGAUAGCAGUAAACCCAGUAUCCUCUUGUCCUUUACAAGAAAGUAUAGGAUAAAAAGUUCAAUCUAAUGAUCAAUAAACAGAAUUCUACUUCUUUGAGAGAAAAUGUUUAGAAAUUAGCUAAAAUUGCAUAAGAACGGUAAGUAUAUGUGAAUGACGCAUAUCAAACUCAUUGCAGCUUCAAUCUAAUUUACUAUAUCAGUCCCCAUUCAACCAAAUUAUCACAUGUAAAAUCUUUCAAACCAUCAAUAGAUAUCAAUAGAUAAUUAUCACAUAAUUAUAUUUUCAAUAAACUGUGUGCCUGCACAGAAUCAACUUACCAAAUUUGGGCAAUUACUCUUCAAAACGUCUCAAACAAUGUCUCUUCAAGGAGAUCAGUUUCAUCAAUUGUGUCAAAGUUGAACUUCACCUAAAAACAGAUGUAGGUUCCCAAGAAUAAACACAAUAGCAACCUACAACAUCUAAUUAACCAAAUAGAAUGCACAAAAUGCAUACCAGUACUGUAUGUUGGACAUUAUAUUUGUUCUUGCAACAUUCACGGUUCUCAGAAGGUGUUGGCAUGAACUAGCAAAUCCCUUGUGUGACCUAAAUGAAACAAGAUUACAAAGUGAAAGUAAAAAAUUAAUGUCCACCUGUCUAGGGGAAUCUCAGUAGCAUCAAAGAAGCAUCAGAGGAAAAUUGGUCUAAUCAAACUAGCAAAUCACCCUCACUUUUGUGUUACAUUUGCUCAAUAAGAUUCGAGUUACAAACUCCAAAUUGGAGUCUCAUCCACUAGAACAGUCUAAACACAAAAGUUGAAGAAGUGAAUGCACUAACAAGGCAGUAACCUUUACCUUUUGAGAGAGCAAUCGGUCGAAAGAGUGUCGAAACCCACUACUUGAGAGCAAUCGAAAGAGUGUCGACUGGUUGAGAAGGCCAAUCGAAAGAGUGACAGAGAAGUUGUAAAGAAAAAGAAAAGAAGGGAGAAGGUAGAAGGAAAUCAGUUGAAACUUGAGCAAAUGGGCAGAAGGUAGAAGGAAUGAAGACAAUGGGGAAGGCAAUCGAGAGGGUAAAACAGAGAGCAAAUCGACAGAGAGCAAAUCGGCCGAAAAAGAAAAGAAAUGAAACGGGGGGAGCAAGCUUGAAGGAACGGAAGAGGAACACAGGGGAUCGGGGGAGGGUAAACAGGGAGGGUUUGCUGAAGCCGUUCCUAAUCUGGGCAAAAGGGGGGAAUAGAAAUCGGUAAUUUUCAGCGAUUAGGAAAGUAACCGAUUACACCCGUAUUACCAAUACUUUAAACCAAACACGGGAUAGAGAGGAUUAGGUGCCCACCGAUUAGGGGUGUAUUGGCAAACCAAACAUAUAAAGGGAUUAAGUUAGAAAGUACAGCGAACGACAUCUAAUUAGACCAUGUUUCUCUCAUUCUUCCCCGGUCCCCCAAUCCCCCCCUAAAAAACACCUGCUAAGGUGACAUCAUUUAGAGGCCAUACUUUAGAAAAUUACUUCAGCAAAGUUACUCUAUAUUACAUCAAACGUUCAAAAUAAUUCAUGAUACUCCACCAAGGUUUAGCUUUAGCAUAUGUUGCAAUAAGUACCACUCAGUAUUAGUGGAUCUUAAAACAUCUGCAAUACAUUGAGUAAUUAACGAAUUAACUAGUAACAGAAUAACACACUUAGAUCAAAAUCAUGCCACAACAAGUUACCACCAGUACAGCAAAUCAAACAGAAACCCAAGUUUAUCACUUAUACAUCCUUAAUAAUAGGAAGAUUUGAAAACAAAUCAAACCCCAAAGUGAAACGUAAACCAAAAAGAAGAAGAGCUAUGUUAAAGCUUCAUAUUGUUGCAAAAUACUUUUAGUAAGUAGUCAAAAUAAAAUCUGUAAUAAGCGAGGGUUUCCACAAUGUGGACCCAAACAUGUAACGUUAUUGGAAAAGUAAAAUUUAUUCAUCCAAAAAAUAACAAAGUUUAGCUGAAAACAACAACUUCACGGUUUACUUUACGUUAACAAACAAAAUUUUAUCUUAAACCCCACCCCUAGCUAAUUCAGUAGAGACAUUACAAACAAAUAUGCUGCCAAAAUUUUCUACUACAACCACUCUUGAUAUAUUUGAGUCUAAUAAAAAGAUGUUUUAAGUCCCUUAAAAGUUAGAGAAAAAUAUUUUAAUAAAAUUAUUUUUUGACUUUAAAAAAAAAAAUCUUUUUAGGCCAUUUGAAAAUUGAAAAAUAAUAUUUUAAACCUCUUUUAUUUUUAGGCCUUGAAUAGUCACAUCUCGAGACAAUCCCCAAAAUUAGACCUGACCACAACAUGUAGAUGGAUGCAUUAAUUUAAUUCCAAUAUAUUCUAAUAAUGGUUGAGUUGAGUGUAGGGUUUUCCCGCUACCAUGUCCUGCAGUUAUCAUGCAUCAUAUUCAUUUUACAAGCUUGUACAAUGCAGCCCCAUAAAUGUUUGAUAAAUGGUUUCUUCCUGUCCACAGAUUACAAACCAGCUCUACCCUUUGAAGAGGAGACCCUAACAACUGCCGUUAGACUCCACAGUUACGUGAUGGGAUGAAGUGUUAUCGGCCUUGUGUUUAUUGCCAAUAGAAUAGAAUUUUUGAAUUCGAAUGGAUUUUUUUAAGAUAAGAAAGUGUCAAUUUUUCUCUGAUAUUCUUUUUCCUUAUCAAACAAAUAAGUUUAAUGUUUUCUAGAAAGUAUAAAUGAUCUUACUAUAAAUUUUUUUUUAAAUUAUUCUAUAUAAAAUUAAAUAUUUCUUUCUAAUAUGUAAAAAAGAAUAAUUAAUACUAUGCUAAAAAUUUCAUAAAUAUCAUUAUAAUUUCAAAAAUUAAAUUAAAAAAACUUGACAUUAAUCCUAUUUCUUAAAAUUGAACUCAUCAAUGAUAGAAUCUGUUGAAAAUUCUUGAGCUAUCAAGUAAGUUAAAAGAAAAUCAUCAUCCAUUCUUUUGCGAAGCAUUAUCUUCACAAUUUUUAUGUCUAAAAAUGCUCAUUCGGUUGUUACAGUAGACACGAGAAGAGUUAUCAUAAAUUCUUUUCUUUUUCUCUCGGCAGUGUUAGCAUCUUACCGGAGAAAGAUAAUUCUUUAGCAAUACAUAUAAAUAAAAAUAUAAAAAAUUUACUAAUAUGUAUGAGUAUGAGUCAAAUCAAUUAAUUUUAUAAUUUAACUUUAAAAUUUAUAUGGUAACUCUAAAAUAUAUAAUAAUUUAUAUAUAAAAUUCAAAAAUAUAAAAAUGGGAGCGACCGCCCUGACGCACCCCCUACGUUACCACAAAAAUCAAACGAAAGAGCUCGUAACAUUGAUGAUGCACAUGCUAAUCACCUAGAGUAAGCAUAGACAAGUCUACUAAGGUUGGCAGUUCUAGCAGCCAAACAUUACUCUCAGAAAAUCCAAGCACUUCAUAGUCUCGGCAGAAAGGAACGGAAAGUUGAAGUAUCAAUCUAGCAAAGUAAAGCGUUUGCUAAUGGAGGGUCUGAUGCAAGUGCCUUAUGAUGUUACGGUUAGGUUCAUGUUGACUUUGAAAUUUUGAGAAAUUUGAGAAAUUUUUACACCUUAAGCCUUUGAAAUUUUAUAAUAUUUUUCUUCUUUUUUACAGCAUAUGAAGAACUAUCAGGAUCUUCUCAAGAAGAUAUCAAAGUGGAUGAAACAGGAUAGUCUUCUUUUUGUUCAUCAUUUCUGUCAUAAAGCAUUUGCUUACCACUUUUGAGACUUGCGAAAUAAACUGAUUGUGCUGAGUAACCCUAAUUGUUAUUUCUAAUAUGGGUUUAUGCAAUAACUAGACGUCAUCCCGUUUUCAAGAAUCUAUUUUAAAUCGAAGGGAUCUUAGCUGAACUGACAAUAUCUUGUCAAAUUCUUUUAAUCUAGGACAUAAAUGAAGAUGACUGGAUAACCAGGUACUUCUUUACAGGAGGUAGAAUGCCUUCAGCUAAUCUGCUUCUAUAUUUCCAGGUAAAAAGCCUUUUUACAUCUCAUAUAUGCUAUGAAUUCUGAAAAUUGAAAUUCAAUAGCCGUAGAUUUUGAUGUCAUAUUUAUGAUCUGCAUGACCCAACUGAUUUUAAUGCCUUGUUGUCCAUCCUUUGUACGCAGGAUGAUGUUUCUGUUGUAAACCAUUGGCUUAUGAAUGGGAAACAUUAUGCAAAAACUAGGUGAGAGCAGUUGUUUUGUAAUACCAAUAUUAAAGACCAUUACAGUCUUUCAAUAGCUAUACUAACUUGUUUAACCACCCUGACUCUUCCCUGAGAAAUAGCUAUAGUAUUUGUUUCCCUGUUAGCAAUUUGAAAGUUCAGAGAGUACAUUUUUAUAUUGCAGUGAAGAGUGGCUGAAGAGGAUGGACCGAAGCUUGGCUUCCAUUAAGCCAAUAAUGGAGUCCACCUAUGGCAAGGAUCAGGCUGUGAAAUGGACAGUGUAUUGGAGAACAUUCUUUAUUGCUGUUGCGGAACUCUUUGGAUACAAUAAUGGAGAAGAAUGGAUGGUUGCAGUUUUCCUAUUCAAGAAGAAAAAAAGCCAUCAUCAAUUCUCAU
RNAcentral lists this long non-coding RNA (24349 nucleotides) under Gossypium barbadense (sea-island cotton). RNAcentral describes it as "long non-coding RNA (GBAR_LNC003601)". Lineage: Eukaryota; Viridiplantae; Streptophyta; Magnoliopsida; Malvales; Malvaceae. The record is from RNAcentral.